RNAcentral lists this ribosomal RNA (694 nucleotides) under uncultured bacterium. RNAcentral describes it as "bacterial SSU rRNA". It matches the Rfam family "Bacterial small subunit ribosomal RNA", at positions 32 to 715 of the family's 1533-position model. The record is from RNAcentral.
AACGCUAGCUACAGGCUUAACACAUGCAAGUCGAGGGGCAGCAUGGUCUUAGCUUGCUAAGGCCGAUGGCGACCGGCGCACGGGUGAGUAACACGUAUCCAACCUGCCGUCUACUCUUGGACAGCCUUCUGAAAGGAAGAUUAAUACAAGAUGGCAUCAUGAGUCCGCAUGUUCACAUGAUUAAAGGUAUUCCGGUAGACGAUGGGGAUGCGUUCCAUUAGAUAGUAGGCGGGGUAACGGCCCACCUAGUCUUCGAUGGAUAGGGGUUCUGAGAGGAAGGUCCCCCACAUUGGAACUGAGACACGGUCCAAACUCCUACGGGAGGCAGCAGUGAGGAAUAUUGGUCAAUGGACGAGAGUCUGAACCAGCCAAGUAGCGUGAAGGAUGACUGCCCUAUGGGUUGUAAACUUCUUUUAUAAGGGAAUAAAGUGAGGGACGUGUCCCUUUUUGUAUGUACCUUAUGAAUAAGGAUCGGCUAACUCCGUGCCAGCAGCCGCGGUAAUACGGAGGAUCCAAGCGUUAUCCGGAUUUAUUGGGUUUAAAGGGAGCGUAGGUUGACAUAUAAGUCAGCUGUGAAAGUUUACGGCUCAACCGUGAAAUUGCAGUUGAUACUGUAUGUCUUGAGUGUACAAGAGGUGGGCGGAAUUCGUGGUGUAGCGGUGAAAUGCUUAGAUAUCACGAAGAACUCCGAUUG